CGCCUGGGCGGAAGUGAUUGCCAACAAGGUCAGUUCAGGAAAUGUGGUGUUCCGACUUGUCGUUCCGGGCUGGACAGGACGGAGGGGACUUCAACGGAUCUCACUUUAGGGAAGUACCGCGUUUGCACGGAGAACAGGGAUCUUCCCUGAGGGAUCUGGUUGCAGAAAGAGAAGCCCUGAGCUCUUCAGGAGUCCAUCCUCCAAAAAAGCGGCUGGGAGGGCUGCGCAGGUGCAGGAUCUUUUUGGCUACUGGUGUGAAGAACAAACUGAAGAAAGGCAAAGGUAGAGGCAGGGAGCCCAAUUAGGAGACAGUAGUCCAGAUAACACCUACUAAGAAGAUAGAAGACUUACUUUCAUCAUCUGAAUCAAAUCCAAAGAGUGUCUGACAUUUCUUUUGUGCAAGGUAUUCUUUUAAAUAUUUUAAGAAUUUAGGUCCGAGAUGGUGACGUAGGCAGACCCUGAACUCACCUCCUCCAGGGACACAACAAAUCUGCACCUACACAGAGAGCAAUUCCUCCUGAAGAACUGAGGACUGACUGAACAGCUGAACAACAAAAGGGUCCCAAAAGAAUGAAGAAAUAAUACCUUAAAACUUUCCCAACCUGGGGAAGGAAAGAGACAUCCAGGCUCAGGAGCACAGAGAAUUUGGAUCAAGAUGAACCCAAGGAGAUCCAUACCACUACACAUAAUAAUUAAAAUGUCAAAGAGGAAAGAUUUUAAAAAGUAUAGUUCCUUACCCAGCACUAUGAAAUUAAAAGCUCUGAGAAUAGGCAUGAAAACCUGCAUUACAUAACAAGCUUUCUGUGUGACCUUAUGCUUACUAAAGUUUUUAAAGAGUUACUUGAUAUCAGAAUGACAGAUUUUAAAUUCCUUAAGAUUGCUUAAUGCGUGUGCCAGUUUAUAAUUAUGUGUGUAUACGGUGGGGUUAGGGGGUGAUGCAUGGGACAGAAGAGUGCUAAAGUUUGACAGACCUGAUAGUCUGGGAACUGGUUAUGAAAAUGACAGUUUUCUGGAGAAUGGAGAGUGUGGCAAUCGAGACAACAGAGAGAAAGUAUAUGAAUAAACACUGAUGACUGAAAUGUCUUACGUUUAUGGUACCUGAUAGCUGUGGUCCAUGCUGUAAAUCGCUCUGUGAAAUCCUGUUAUGGUGAUAGUUUUCAAAAACUAUUAUGAGAAAUAAACUAGAUAGACGGAAACAUA
Acinonyx jubatus (cheetah) is the source of this 1200-nucleotide long non-coding RNA. RefSeq lists it as uncharacterized. The record is from RefSeq and is a predicted model, not a curated record. The transcript is spliced from 5 exons. Lineage: Eukaryota; Metazoa; Chordata; Mammalia; Carnivora; Felidae.